This is a long non-coding RNA of Mirounga angustirostris (Northern elephant seal), 2006 nucleotides long. RefSeq lists it as uncharacterized. The record is from RefSeq and is a predicted model, not a curated record. The transcript is spliced from 3 exons. Lineage: Eukaryota; Metazoa; Chordata; Mammalia; Carnivora; Phocidae.
GGUUCCCUAAGAGUCACAUUCUCUACGAGAACUUUGCCAACUGCUUCCUGACACCCACUUCUUUUCAGGAAGGGGUCCACCUCCCUUCCUACUUCUCCCAUGCCAUUUCUCUGGCAACAGUCUUAGGAGUGGGUGGACUGCACGCGGAGAGUAAACCCACCCGAGUUGAUGUCGACUUCCCUUGAUGCCUCUAUUCCCAGUGGUGUAGGACAGUAGCCACGGGCGGUCCAUCAGCAGUGGGAGAGGCGAUCCCCACUUUUCCUCUCCAGACGGGGAGGAAAGGUGGCCCAAACCCCUGGGAUCAGCUGGAGAAGUGAUUGCUCUUCUGAGGGAUUACUCGUUUCUUCUAAAAAUUGUAUAACACCAAAUUUGGCCUAAAUAGAGAGAUAGUGAGAGCAGGAACACAAGCAGGAGGAGUGGGAGAGGGAGAAGCAGGCCUCUCACCGAGCACGGAGCCCGAUGUGGGGCUCGAUCCCAGGACCCGGGGAACAUGACCUGAGCUGAAGUAGAUGCUUAACGACUGAACCACCCAGGUGCCGCAAGCACUGUUUUUAAUAGUAAAACAUUACUGUUCUAAACAUUGUUUAGAAACAACCCAAAUGUCUAUCCAAAGAAGAUUGGUUAAAUAAACUCUGGUAUAUCUCUAUGCAGCUGUAAACAAAAACAAACACAAAAUGAGGCGCGCUCUCUGUGUACUGAUAUGGAAAGAUCCCCAGAGUAUAUUGUUAAUUUAAAAAGCAAGGCACAGAACAGUGAAUAUAAUAUGCUUUUAUGUAAGAAAGGGGGGAAAUAAGUACAUAUAUUCACUUAUAUAGAAACACUAUACUUAUACACUAUACUUAAACACUUAUAAAGAAACACUAUAAGAAUACACAAAAAGUAAUAAAAAUGAUUUUACUAUAUAGAGAGUGGAGUGCGGACAAGGUGAAUAGAGGCAUAGUUAUUUUUUAGGGUAUUUUUUUUUAACAGAAGAAAAAAGAUUAAUACAAAGAAUGUAUGUGACUGAGUUUUACACCAUUGUCAAACAGACCCUCCAGAAAGUGGACAUAUGUAAGCAAUUGAUGUCUCUGCUGAACAUAACCAUCAGUUAUCCUUAUUCAAGGCUUUUAACAUGAUACUAUUUUAUCCAAUUACCACCAUUCCAAUAUUGUUGUCUAUUGGCCACUAGCACCCAUCUCCACAGAUUCAUCUAUGCCAAAUUCAUAAAGGGACCAAAUCCCAGCAAUACUCCUUGAACAUGCCUGCCACCAUUCAAUUUCAAUGAUAACUUCCUGUCCAUACAUUUUUUUCAGUUGGGCUGGUAACCUUUACUCAUCUACCAUGAGUAGAGGCAGGCUUGGAGCUACCUUGAAACAGAAUUUUGUUCAGCUGUAUGUAUGUAUUCUGUAUGGCUUUUUAUUUCAUGUAUUCAUUUUAUUUUUAUUUUUAAAUCAUGAAUGUAUUUUCUAUGUAAAAAAAAAGAAAGAAGGAAGGAAAGAAGGAAAAAAGAAAGAAGGAGAGAAAGAAAGAAAGAAAGAAAGAAAGAAAGAAAGAAAGAAAGAAAGAAAGAAAGAAAGAAAGAAAGAAAGAAAAAGUGAAAGUCAUACAACAUAACUGACAGGAAAUAAAGCCACGACAGUCCUUUGCUGGGGAUCCUUCUUUAAUGGCUCUCCAGACAUGUUUAAUGGCUCUUGACAUGUUUGGCAAUAGUGUAGAAGUAGUCAAAGUGGAAUAAAGAAUAGCAGCUGGGGCACAGAAGAAGAAAGGAAAGGAUUCUAUUUCUUGUUAACCAAGUAUCCUCCCAACUAGGAGAAAAAGAAACAAACCAAAUAAACAGAUCACCUAGCAAGGAAAAAGUUCUUUGUUUUUAAAAAUUUUCUGACUUCAGGUGGGGGGGGUGAUGGAUAUUAAGGAGGGCACUUGUGAUGUGCACUAGGUUUUGUAUGUUAAGUGAUGAAUCCUAAAUUCUACAUCUGAGACUAAUAUUGCACUGUAUGUUAACUGGAAUUUAAAUAAAAAUUUGAAAA